CCGGCUAGGCAGGGAGAACGAGAAGGAACUCUGAAAGGAGGGAUCGAGUCGCCAUCGAUCCAACCUUUCCAUCGGUCAAGGCGAAAGCGAUCGAUCAUAUCGCAAUGCACCUCUGCAGCGGUCUGGCCGUUACAACGCGCACAACCGUCAACCGCCAUGCGUCCGCGUAAACAAGGACCCACCCACCGACCCCGCCGACCGUUAACACGAUUCUGCUCUGUUUCUUCUUCGUCGCUCGCCAUGUGCACCUUCGCCGUCCGUCGCCAUCUCCGGUUCUCCCCGCCACGCCAGGCGCCACACGUCUCGACAGCAUGCGCAGAGCGGUAACUUCGGAUGGGUACCUCCUCUACGCCCCGUGAAAGUGAUGCGAAUCAAGGCCUCGGAUAUACCAUGGACGGCUCCAUCUCUACGGACUAACGAUCCUUGAUCAGCAAAAAACUAACGAUCCAGUCUGCAAAAAAAAAAAUACAAUCAAUUCUGAUAUACCAUAGAUUGAUUUAUAUAUAAUUAUGCUUUUUCUAAUCCUAAAAAAA
RNAcentral lists this long non-coding RNA (533 nucleotides) under Setaria italica (foxtail millet). RNAcentral describes it as "long non-coding RNA (SITA_LNC001918)". Lineage: Eukaryota; Viridiplantae; Streptophyta; Magnoliopsida; Poales; Poaceae. The record is from RNAcentral.